UACGUAGGGUGCGAGCGUUGUCCGGAAUUACUGGGCGUAAAGAGCUCGUAGGCGGUUUGUCGCGUCUGCUGUGAAAACCCGAGGCUCAACCUCGGGCCUGCAGUGGGUACGGGCAGACUAGAGUGCGGUAGGGGAGAUUGGAAUUCCUGGUGUAGCGGUGAAAUGCGCAGAUAUCAGGAGGAACACCAAUUGCGAAGGCAGCUCGCUGGGACGUUACUGACGCUGAGACGCGAAAGCGUGGGGAGCAAACAGG
This 253-nucleotide ribosomal RNA is filed under the name uncultured bacterium. RNAcentral's name for it is "partial 16S ribosomal RNA". It matches the Rfam family "Bacterial small subunit ribosomal RNA", at positions 524 to 776 of the family's 1533-position model. The record is from RNAcentral.